Triticum aestivum (bread wheat) is the source of this 3496-nucleotide long non-coding RNA. RefSeq lists it as uncharacterized. The transcript is spliced from 2 exons. The record is from RefSeq and is a predicted model, not a curated record. Lineage: Eukaryota; Viridiplantae; Streptophyta; Magnoliopsida; Poales; Poaceae.
ACGCUUAUAGAAGCCCCCUCCCCCUCCUUCCCUGUCUACCUCGUCCCGCUCUCAAUCUGGCCAAUGCGUCUCGCACGUCGGUCCAUCCACGCCGACCUCGCCGGAGCAUCGCAUGCGACCUCACUGAGGGCCGUGUCUCGCCGGAUCCCCGUCGCGAAGCCCUCAUCUACCCUGUCACUGCCGUCUCCCAUCUGCCCUCAACGCAGCCGAGGUGGUGCUGCACCGAGGAGACAUGGGAGGACCUGCAGAUCAGUCGAGGUCACGCUCACCCAGGCUGCUGGCGUCUCGCCGUCCCGUGUCGCUCAGCCAUGCCUGCCUGGUGCUUGACACUCGACCCCUCGAGUCCUCCCGCGUCUUGCCCUCAAAUUCGGCCUGGCAGCCGGCGCUGCCCCGCCCCGCAUCGUCGUCGCGGACUCGUGGGCGUGAGGAAGCGCCACAAGUUCCUGUUCCUCCGCAUCUGGCUUCUGGCAACCGCCGUAGGGUCCGGAGGACGACUUCCUCGACCAGUCUUCUCCCAACCAGGCUCUCCUUUCCGCCACCGUAGAUGCUUCGGGAAAUAGGGGAAGCAUCAACGACGACGCCGGCCAGGCAGCGGUGAGCGUCCUCUUCAUUUUCUCCCUUUUCUUUUUCUCUGCCUUUUUUUGUUGGUUUUCGCGUACUCCUUAUUAGAUUUAUCCAACUCCUAUCAGGAGCAGGACGCCGUGCAGCUGCCUGGUUUGUUCCAGCCGGUGUCUUGUCUCCUAGCUAGCGUACCAAUUAGGUGCCCUCGCACACAGAUCAUGUGUGUUUGAGUUUUGAGUUUUCAGGAGUUGUGAUUGGCUGAUUUUCAAAAACAAAAAGGAGUUGUGAUUGGUGCUAUCUGCUGACUGCUUCAUAUCAAGUGGGCUGAUGUGGAUUUUAGAUGUUCCACGCGCAGCGGUAGAAGCAGGUUAGGUCAACAGGUGGGCUGCAGCCGGCAGAUUAAUCAAGUAUGGUAAUCCAGGGCAAACAUCUGAAGCUGGUAUGAUGCAUCGCUUGCGAUAUUGAUGGUAAACAUGUGCGAGUUGUCGUAGUUUGAGAAGAAACAACUUAGCAACAAUAUGCAUUUUUUGAGGAUUUUGACAUAUUAUGAUGUGAUAACUGAUUCUUCCUUUUUGUUCCAUUUUUGCACAGUGCUAAUUAUGUAUGAUUCUCAAUAUAUAUGCUUCAUUAUCUGGAUUUUCUCCUUUUUUUACUUAUAUGCUACUUUUUGAAUGGUUUUACAUUUAUUAUACAAAGGAAAAAUAUACGAGGCUGAAUAAUGUUUGUUAAUCUGCAACUGAUGGAAAACAGAUUUUCGACAAGGCCCAUCACCUUCAUGUUUUAAUUGUACUGACUUCUGAGAUGUCCUAGCAAGUUUUCAUGCCCAUGUAACUUUGCUGCUAUACAUGUUCUGCAAGGAAGUAGAAGGUGUUGUGGUCCCAUUAUUUUAGAGGAACAUGAAAUUGUGUCCCUCCUGUUCUGUAGUAGAGUCCUGUCAGACUAUGUCGAAUUGGCAGAAAAGGAAGUUAAUUUGGGACUAUUGGUUUCGCUGUUAUUUCUUAGGCUUUGUUAUGUUAUUCAUCUAAAUUUGUUAUGUUAUUCGUCUAAAUUUGUGUUGUUUGACCCACUGUAUACUGUACAGUGCAUGGAACUACCUAUUUCUGACGAAUAUAUUGCUCUCUGGAAAGGUGUGUGUACUGCUGAUUGUGGUGGCGUGUGCAAGGGGCGCCGUUCCCUGUCCUAUGUGGUUCCUCGGCUGCACCCUCCUCUCACGAACAAUCAAUCUAUGUGAUGUUUUCUUUAGAGAUCAUUCAAAUAUUGUUUUGUUAGAACCUCUAUAAUAUUCUCUCUGCUUGGGUAUUGGUUGUUGCAGGAUUAGAAUCGUAUCGUGAUACCCACCAUAUGAAGCAAACAUCAGCAACGACCUAGAUGACUGCCUGAAGGUAAUAGUUCUUCCUAUAGAAGUUAACCCCUCGACUUGAUAUGGACUUAAAUAUACAACAUGCAUUCCCAUUCAGUCAGAAUAUGUGGUAGAAACACAUUCAUCAUAUGUAUGGCCAAUUCUAACCUUUAAUGGAGGUGCUCUUGUUGUGUUCACAAGCAUGGUCAUUACUCAUAUUUGUGAGUUGCAACCAAGAUGCAAAAGUGUCCUUUUUGUGUUUCUCACAAGUUCUUUCCUUCUUUCUGUGUGCAACUUUGACAACUCUCCAAGGAGCAUCCAAGUAUGCUGAACUUUUUUUAUAUAUAUCUGGGAGUCAUACGCUGGACACUACACUCCUGCAUUUGCAACUCAUGUGCCAAGGCGGAAUAGAACAAUGAGGGCAUUUACCUUGAUUUGAAGGUUUCAGUCAACUCCUUUUGGAUCUCCCCAUGUUGUAAAUUGUUAUGAAGGUUUUUGUAGUUUAAUCUUCUUUCUCAAGGUGUUUGCAAUUAGCAUGGCUUACAAAUCCAGUAUAAGGUAUGCACCAAUUAUGCAUUGGAUGUGGGUGUUCGGUGUCCCAUGUCAGUCUCAUGGACUUGAUUAAUUUGCAUACUGCAGAAUGCAGCAGUACUUUGCUCAACAAAGGUACAAGUUAAUCGAUUCAUCUAUUUGCUGGAUUAAAUAAUAUAUGCAUGAGCAUAUUCAGUUAAUUAGCAUGAGCAUAUCCAUCUUCUGAGGUAUACAUCAGAGAGAGGGAGAAUUCUUAUUAGCCUUGCUGCCUACUGACAUCGAAUUUAAUUUUAUCUUUUCUUUCAGGUAGCUUUGGUGUUGUAUCUUGCCUUGCUACCUGUUUUUUUUAUUGCGAUACCAUAUUCAGUUCCGUGAGGCUGAAAAUUGGGUGCAAAAAUAUAAAGUGGAAUACCCUGGAAGGACAAGUAUAUUCAUAUAUAUUCAACCUAGGUUUUCAGUUUUACCAUCUUCCUUAGCUGCUGCAACAUGAAGGAGUGACUUUACAGGAUUGUCAUGGACUUUAUAUAACUACCCAGCUACACGCAUACACUAUUUUUUUGAGAAUACACACAUAUUUUGCUUGCAAUUGUGAAUAAAAGACUGGUAAAGAUAAGUGUUAACUGUGUAUCCAUAGUCUUGCUCUUUUUUCUUGGAUGUUUAAGUCAAAUGUUCAUUCAUAGUCUUUUUUUAUAGAUGUCCCUCAUAGUCUUUUUUUAUAGAUGUCCCUGCCAUAGCACAACAAUGGAGGGUAGAAUGCAAGAAAUGCUCAAAUAAUUGGGUUGUAGCAAUUAGAUGGGCUUUUUGAUUUUCUAUUGAGAAAAUUGCAUGGUUUAUCCACUCAUUAAUUAUUGCAGUUUUGUUGUGGCAGGAACAGAGCGUGUAUUGCAGUUUAUACUACCGACAGGAUCAGAACAUUUGUCUCUCUGAAUUUUGUUUAGAAAGGCAUAACAUAUCGGAACUGAAUUUUUCCUAGAGCAAUAUUCAUGUUUAUUCUUACUUGUAUAAUUUUGUUUAUAAAGGCUAGAUCAAAAUAAUAAAAACAACACACUUUCAUUUUUUGGUGAA